This 1060-nucleotide long non-coding RNA is filed under the name Homo sapiens (human). Its description in RNAcentral is "HSALNT0107193". Lineage: Eukaryota; Metazoa; Chordata; Mammalia; Primates; Hominidae. The record is from RNAcentral.
CAUAGAAACAGUCUUAUUAUUUUUUAUUAAUUUUUUUACAAAAUAGAUUUUUCAACUGGUUCAUGAAAAUGAGCAAAAUGUAUUGUCUAAAUAAAGCCAUACCAAUUUUUCACCUUAUGAGAAAUGGAAGUUAGGUUCAUUUGGAAUAAUCUCUUCUCAAUGAAAACUUGUUGGUGCCUAGCAAUGACUUCCCUUUUUUUAUGUUUAUAGGAUGCCCUUCAAGAACUUUGCCCAGGACUCUGGCAUCUAUGGUUUGCAGAAUCAACCUUCUUCCCCUUUUCACAAAAUGGAAUAGUGUGUACCCAGCCACAGUCUUCUGGCGUCUCUCCCCGGCCCCACAGUCCCUGAAAAGCUGCCAACAGUCUUCUCAUAUAUAAAUUCUGUUGGUACCCCAGCCGGAAUUUGUCCAAGCUUGGAGACAUAAGCUCAUUGAAAGCUAGGCAUUCUCAUACAAUACCCCAUUUAUUUUGUGCCUCAAUGUCUUCCUGCUGAUAUUUGUAUGAAGAACAUUCAACUUUAGAAAAGUUGGAACAGGGAAGCUGGUGUUUAGAGGUGGAAGCCAGUAAGUUCCGGGUGCAAAUCCAGAUUCUUUCAUUCUCCAAAGGUCUGAUCUUGGGCUAGGUUAUCCAAUUCUUUGAACUUCAGUUUGCUAACCUCUUCAGGCCUGCUGAUUUCUUGGCAGGAAGGACCUAAAGUAACAGGGCAACAGACGAUGCUUCAAAUAGAAUGGUACUCUCACUGUAUACCCUGGUGGAACAUCCUCUUCCCAGGAGUGGAGAUCUCUAAACUCACAGGGCCCAGACUUGCAGGGACAGGAUGCAAACAUUCUCCAAGUGGGUCCCUGGCAGUGUGGGUAAGCAGGGCCACUCCUGCUCCUACCGCUUGGUUCUCAAAACCGUGUGUUCUACCUAUUUGGGACACCACACCAUAUGAUGAUGUUGCUUUAGGAUAUACUCUGUAAGGGUCGGGCCUGGUGGCUCACACCUGUAAUCCCAGCACUUUGGGAGGCUGAGGCAGGUGGAUCACUUGAGGUCAGGAGUUUGAGACCAGCCUGGCCAAC